RNAcentral lists this long non-coding RNA (1198 nucleotides) under Capsicum annuum. RNAcentral's name for it is "long non-coding RNA (CANN_LNC008722)". The record is from RNAcentral. Lineage: Eukaryota; Viridiplantae; Streptophyta; Magnoliopsida; Solanales; Solanaceae.
AAAAAUAUAUUAUUGAUAUUAUUUGGCCAAUAGGCCUACACGUGAAAAUUAAUAUUAAAGAAAAUAUAAAAUCGUUGGGAGAAAAUUUCUCCCGAAACAAGACUCUUAAACGACUACAUUGUGGAUGCUAUUGUGUUAUGAUAUAAGAAAGGUGUCUCUAUUUAUAGAAUUCCAAAAUCUUUCCUCCAAGAAAGAUGUUUGCCAAAUAUGAAAAAGUUUUAUACUUUCCUUUCAGGAAAAGUAAAAAUCUUUCCUCUAAGAAAGAUGUUUGUCAAAUAUAAAAAAGUUUUAUACUUUCCUUUCAGUUUUUACUUUUAUUUUUCUUCUAAGCAAAAUAAAACUUAAAUUUGGUAAGAAAAUCAGGGCAAAAACCCUAACAAAUCUCUCUUUUUUGGCUUGAUUGUCUUCACUUGAUCCGUCUUUUUCACAUCACAUGCAUGAACUUCGUUCUUGAUAUAAUCAUCAUAACUGCUUCUUCCCAGGGUUAAAAAUAAAGUUUAAAAUAUCAUGAUUAAAAAUAGGUUAAGCAAUUAAUAUUUUAUUUUUAUUUUUAAAGAUACAGCAACAAGAAUAUUGAAAAUAUGAUUGAAACUUGUUCUCCACGUAUAGUUGAACAAAAAAUCUUCAUUAUAUUGCAAAUUUAUUAGAACCGCCUUGGACUUGGCUUCAACCUCGUUUUACCAAAUCACUAGAUCUUUGAACUGUAGGCUCCGCUACCACUUGUUGGGAUUGAAAUCGAGAGGGCAUAAUGCGGAAGCUUAAAGUUUGCAAACUAAGACGGUGAUAAUUCAUAUGACAAAUAAAAAUAUACUAAUAAAACAUAUUAUUGAUAUUAUUUGGCCAAUUGGCCUACACAUGAAAACUAAUAUUAAAGAAAAUAUAAAACCGUUGGGAGAAAAUCUCUCUCGAAACAAGACUCUUAAGCGACUACAUUGUGGAUGUUAUUGUGUUAUGGUUUGAGACAAGACUCUUAAGCGACUACAUUGUGGAUGCUAUUGUGUUAUGGUAUGAGGAGAAGGUAUUCUAUUUAUAGAGUUUCAAAAUCUUUCCUCCAAGAAAGAGGGUUGUCAAAUAUGAAAAAGUUUUAUACUUUCCUUUCAGGAAAAGUAAAAGUAAUUAUGGCAUUACUUUUAUUUUCCUUCUAAGAAAAAUAAAACUUAAAUUUGAUAGUAAAAUAAGACAAAAACCCUAACAAAAU